UACGUAGGCAGCGAGCGUUGUUCGGAAUUACUGGGCGUAAAGCGCACGUAGGCGGUUCGUUAAGUCGGAUGUGAAAGCCCUCGGCUCAACUGAGGAAGUGCACCCGAAACUGGCGAGCUUGAGUACGAAAGAGGAUCGCGGAAUUCCCGGUGUAGAGGUGAAAUUCGCAGAUAUCGGGAAGAACACCCGUGGCGAAGGCGGUUCUCUGGGACGGUACUGGACGCUGAGGAGCGAAAAGCGUGGGGAGCGAACAGG
RNAcentral lists this ribosomal RNA (255 nucleotides) under uncultured bacterium. RNAcentral describes it as "partial 16S ribosomal RNA". It matches the Rfam family "Bacterial small subunit ribosomal RNA", at positions 524 to 776 of the family's 1533-position model. The record is from RNAcentral.